GAUGAACGCUAGCUACAGGCUUAACAUAUGCAAGUCGAGGGGCAGCAUGGUCUUAGCUUGCUAAGGCCGAUGGCGACCGGCGCACGGGUGAGUAACACGUAUCCAACCUGCCGUCUACUCUUGGACAGCCUUCUGAAAGGAAGAUUAAUACAAGAUGGCAUCAUGAGUCCGCAUGUUCACAUGAUUAAAGGUAUUCCGGUAGACGAUGGGGAUGCGUUCCAUUAGAUAGUAGGCGGGGUAACGGCCCACCUAGUCUUCGAUGGAUAGGGGUUCUGAGAGGAAGGUCCCCCACAUUGGAACUGAGACACGGUCCACAAUCCUACGCGAGGCAGCAGUGAGGAAUAUUGGUCAAUGGGCGCAGGCCUCAACCAGCCAAGUAGCGUGAAGGAUGCCUGCCCUAUGGGUUGUAAACUUCUUUUAUAAAGGAAUAAAGUCGGGUAUGUAUACCCGUUUGCAUGUACUUGAUGAAUAAGGAUCGGCUAACUCCGUG
This 490-nucleotide ribosomal RNA is filed under the name uncultured bacterium. RNAcentral describes it as "partial 16S ribosomal RNA". It matches the Rfam family "Bacterial small subunit ribosomal RNA", at positions 28 to 507 of the family's 1533-position model. The record is from RNAcentral.